This 467-nucleotide ribosomal RNA is filed under the name uncultured bacterium. RNAcentral describes it as "partial 16S ribosomal RNA". It matches the Rfam family "Bacterial small subunit ribosomal RNA", at positions 28 to 507 of the family's 1533-position model. The record is from RNAcentral.
GAUGAACGCUGGCGGCGUGCUUAACACAUGCAAGUCGAACGGAAAGGCCCAAGCUUGCUUGGGUACUCGAGUGGCGAACGGGUGAGUAACACGUGGGUGAUCUGCCCUGCACUUCGGGAUAAGCCUGGGAAACUGGGUCUAAUACCGGAUAGGACCACUUCUUGGAUGUUGUGGUGGAAAGUUUUUUCGGUGUGGGAUGAGCUCGCGGCCUAUCAGCUUGUUGGUGGGGUAAUGGCCUACCAAGGCGUCGACGGGUAGCCGGCCUGAGAGGGUGUACGGCCACAUUGAGACUGAGAUACGGCCCAGACGCCUACGGGAGGCAGCAGUGGGGAAGAUUGAACAAUGGGCGCAAGCCUGAUGCAGCGACGCCGCGUGGGGGAUGACGGCCUUCGGGUUGUAAACUCCUUUCGCUAGGGACGAAGCGUUUUGUGACGGUACCUGGAGAAGAAGCACCGGCUAACUACGUG